This 943-nucleotide small RNA is filed under the name Pan troglodytes (chimpanzee). Its description in RNAcentral is "processed transcript". The record is from RNAcentral. Lineage: Eukaryota; Metazoa; Chordata; Mammalia; Primates; Hominidae.
GAUCCCAGGGUCUGAGAGAGAGCCAAGAUGAAUAUGGCCUUCCAAGAAGACAUGCUGACAAGAAAAGACUCAGAGUGCCCAGGAGCUUCCCCUUCCUACCAACCCUGCAGCCUGGAACCCUAGCCAUACCUCUCCCUGACUGUGGACAGUACAGCCUUUGAGCUGAGCCAAGCUGCUCCCCUGGCGAUUUCCAUAAGAGUACCACUUAUCAGCACCUUGGACAGCAUACAAAUGAUUCUGCAUCUCCAGGAAGAACUGGUCCUUCAGCCAAGGGCAGCACUGAGCCCCAAGUGGCCCCAGAUGAGUGCAAAGGACUACCAGUUUUGAUCAGCGACUGGUUGAAUCCGUGGAUGCAAAACCUGUGGAUACAGAGGGACAGAGGCCUACUGUACAUGGCACAUGCUCGCUUCCCCACCCCAGCCUGGGCACUCCUGUUCGACUGAGACCAGGAUUAUUCCCACCUCCCAAGAGCAGAGAGGGCUCAGAUGCACAGCCUCUGCCUUCGUGGAGUGGGCAUUUUCAGGAAGUGCUUAGCCUCCAAGUAUGGGCUACUUAUUUUCAACAAUUACUUUCACUCCAAGACGUACAUAAUUUUUUAAACAUGGGAAUCCCUGAUGUUUCAUUUUUGUUUUGGAAAUGAUUUUUAGAGAAGAUGAAUUAUCCUGUCUGAUGCCAUGAGAUCUAUUUUUAUCAUUUGGGAUGUUGAGACUAAAACUGACAACAUAUUUAGUAUUGCUUAUAGUACUCAGUGACACUGCCUCCCUUUGAAGCCCGCCAGAGAGCCACCAUGCAGGAACAUGAGUUACUAAUUAAUUCAACCUGCUCACUGGGACAAAAUGGGAAGGAAGGACCCACAUUUGACACAGAUAAAGUGGAGCAUGUUCAAAGCGCCAGGACACCAAGGGAUCAGGAAAUUAUGUCUCAAGGGAAGGGCUGAAGAAAC